This 484-nucleotide ribosomal RNA is filed under the name uncultured bacterium. Its description in RNAcentral is "partial 16S ribosomal RNA". It matches the Rfam family "Bacterial small subunit ribosomal RNA", at positions 30 to 507 of the family's 1533-position model. The record is from RNAcentral.
AUUGAACGCUGGCGGCAGGCCUAACACAUGCAAGUCGAGCGGAUGAAGGGAGCUUGCUCCUGGAUUCAGCGGCGGACGGGUGAGUAAUGCCUAGGAAUCUGCCUGGUAGUGGGGGAUAACGUCCGGAAACGGGCGCUAAUACCGCAUACGUCCUGAGGGAGAAAGUGGGGGAUCUUCGGACCUCACGCUAUCAGAUGAGCCUAGGUCGGAUUAGCUAGUUGGUGGGGUAAAGGCCUACCAAGGCGACGAUCCGUAACUGGUCUGAGAGGAUGAUCAGUCACACUGGAACUGAGCCACGGUCCAGACUCCUACGGGAGGCAGCAGUGGGGAAUAUUGGACAGUGGGCGAAAGCCUGAUCCAGCCAUGCCGCGUGUGUGAAGAAGGUCUUCGGAUUGUAAAGCACUUUAAGUUGGGAGGAAGGGCAGUAAGUUAAUACCUUGCUGUUUUGACGUUACCAACAGAAUAAGCACCGGCUAACUUCGUG